This 243-nucleotide ribosomal RNA is filed under the name uncultured Actinomycetales bacterium. RNAcentral's name for it is "partial 16S ribosomal RNA". It matches the Rfam family "Bacterial small subunit ribosomal RNA", at positions 88 to 334 of the family's 1533-position model. The record is from RNAcentral. Lineage: Bacteria; Bacillati; Actinomycetota; Actinomycetes; Actinomycetales.
UACUCGAGUGGCGAACGGGUGAGUAACACGUGGGUGAUCUGCCCUGCACUUCGGGAUAAGCUUGGGAAACUGGGUCUAAUACCGGAUAGGAGCCAUCUUUAGUGUGGUGGUUGGAAAGUUUUUUCGGUGUAGGAUGAGCUUGCGGCCUAUCAGCUUGUUGGUGGGGUAAUGGCCUACCAAGGCGGCGACGGGUAGCCGGCCUGAGAGGGUGUACGGCCACAUUGGGACUGAGAUACGGCCCAG